AACAUACCCCCUCCGUCCCAUAUUCAGUGACUUAAAUUUGUCUAAAUAUGGACGUAUCUAUAUACUAAAAUACAUCUAGAUAUAUGUAAUAUUUCGGCACUUAAUAUGGGACGGAGGGAGUAGUAA
Molecule: non-coding RNA, 126 nt
Organism: Brachypodium distachyon (stiff brome)
Lineage: Eukaryota; Viridiplantae; Streptophyta; Magnoliopsida; Poales; Poaceae
Source: Rfam